UGUGGGAGCGGGCUUGCUCGCGAUACAGGCGCCGCGGUUUGUCAGGAUAGCCGCGUCGAUCCAAUCGCGAGCAAGCCCGCUCCCACA
This 87-nucleotide unclassified non-coding RNA is filed under the name Pseudomonas fragi. Lineage: Bacteria; Pseudomonadati; Pseudomonadota; Gammaproteobacteria; Pseudomonadales; Pseudomonadaceae. The record is from RNAcentral.